GAUGAACGCUGGCGGCGUGCCUAAUACAUGCAAGUCGAGCGAACAGACGAGGAGCUUGCUCCUCUGACGUUAGCGGCGGACGGGUGAGUAACACGUGGAUAACCUACCUAUAAGACUGGGAUAACUUCGGGAAACCGGAGCUAAUGCCGGAUAAUAUAUUGAACCGCAUGGUUCAAUAGUGAAAGACGGUUUUGCUGUCACUUAUAGAUGGAUCCGCGCCGCAUUAGCUAGUUGGUAAGGUAGCGGCUUACCAAGGCAACGAUGCGUAGCCGACCUGAGAGGGGGAUGGGCAACACUGAAAAGGAAACACGGUCAGAACCCCUACGGGGGGCACAGGAAGGAAAUUUUCGGAAGUGGGGGAAAGCUUGAGGGGGAAACGCGGGGGGAGGGAUGAAGGGUUUGGGAUCGUAAAACUGUGUUAUUGGGAAAAAACAAAUGGGAAGGUAACGUUGCAAGUUUGGACGGUACCAAAUAAAAAAGCACCGCCUAACUACGU
Molecule: ribosomal RNA, 496 nt
Filed under: uncultured bacterium
Lineage: Bacteria
Description: partial 16S ribosomal RNA
Rfam family: Bacterial small subunit ribosomal RNA
Source: RNAcentral